CAUCUUUGAGAAACUAUUGUAAUACUUCAGUAUUAAUGGAGCUUAAUAACUCCUCAAAGCAU
This 62-nucleotide transfer RNA is filed under the name Antechinus godmani (Atherton antechinus). RNAcentral's name for it is "tRNA-Lys". The record is from RNAcentral. Lineage: Eukaryota; Metazoa; Chordata; Mammalia; Dasyuromorphia; Dasyuridae.